CUCUAGCGAGACUGCCCGUAUAACGCGGAGGAAGGUGGGGAUGACGUCAAGUCAGCAUGGCCCUUACAUCCUGGGCUACACACACGCUACAAUGGGUGAUACAAUAGGUUGCAAUAGAGCGAUCUGGAGCCAAUCCAAAAAAUCAUCCUCAGUUCGGAUUGCAGGCUGCAACUGCCUGCAUGAAGUUGGAGUUGCUAGUAAACGCAGGUCAGCACACUGCGUUGAAUACGUUCUCGGGCCUUGUACACACCGCCCGUCAAGUCAUGGAAGUCGGUAACACCUGAAGUCGAUAGGCUAACCCGCAAGGGAGGCAGUCGCCGAAGGUGGGACCGGUGACUGGGACGAAGUCGUAACAAGGUAGCC
This 363-nucleotide ribosomal RNA is filed under the name uncultured bacterium. Its description in RNAcentral is "bacterial SSU rRNA". It matches the Rfam family "Bacterial small subunit ribosomal RNA", at positions 1138 to 1501 of the family's 1533-position model. The record is from RNAcentral.